UACGGAGGGUGCAACCGUUGCUCGGAAUCAUUGGGCGUAAAGCGCACGUAGGCGGACCAUCAAGUCGGAUGUGAAAUCCCUCGGCUUAACCGAGGACGUGCAUUCGAAACUGAUGGUCUUGAGUACGAAAGAGGAUCGCGGAAUUCCCGGUGUAGAGGUGAAAUUCGUAGAUAUCGGGAGGAACACCAGUGGCGAAGGCGGCGAUCUGGGUCGAUACUGACGCUGAGGUGCGAAAGCGUGGGGAGCAAACAGG
This 253-nucleotide ribosomal RNA is filed under the name uncultured bacterium. RNAcentral's name for it is "partial 16S ribosomal RNA". It matches the Rfam family "Bacterial small subunit ribosomal RNA", at positions 524 to 776 of the family's 1533-position model. The record is from RNAcentral.